Molecule: ribosomal RNA, 301 nt
Filed under: uncultured bacterium
Lineage: Bacteria
Description: partial 16S ribosomal RNA
Rfam family: Bacterial small subunit ribosomal RNA
Source: RNAcentral
CAGUAGCCGCGGUAAGACAGAGGAUGCAAGCGUUAUCCGGAAUGAUUGGGCGUAAAGGGCUCGCAGGCGGUUUCUUAAGUCUGAUGUGAAAGCCCCCGGCUCAACCGGGGAGGGUCAUUGGAAACUGGGAAACUUGAGUGCAGAAGAGGAGAGUGGAAUUCCACGUGUAGCGGUGAAAUGCGUAGAGAUGUGGAGGAACACCAGUGGCGAAGGCGACUCUCUGGUCUGUAACUGACGCUGAGGAGCGAAAGCGUGGGGAGCGAACAGGAUUAGAUACCCCCGUAGUCCCUGUCUCUUAUAU